CAACGUUCGUCGACUUCGGGUUAGGCGGUCCUAAGGUGAGGCCAUAUGGCGUAGCCGAUGGAAAACGGGUUGAUAUUCCCGUUCUUGGUUGUAGUCGUUAUCAGCUGGGGAGGGACGAUGAAGGAUAACCUGGGCGGCGCGAGGAAGUUGCGUUCGUCUAAGCCGUAAAGCAGAAUGUGUUGGAAAAUCCGCAGAUUCGACGCUGAAUGGUGAUGGGAAGGCCAAACGCAAGUGAGGCCAACCCGGGUGAUUUCAUCAUCCGAGAAAAGCUUCGCAGUGAGACUACAACCAAACCGUACCGACAACCGACACUGGUGGGCUGGUAGAGCAUACCAAGGCGAGCGGGAGAAGGAGGUUUAAGGAAUUCGGCAAAUUAGCUGGGCGUACCUUUGGUAUAUGCCCUCCCCGUGAGAUGUCGCGCAAGCGCUGUCUUAUGGGGUUCAACAAAAGAUUACAGAGCGACUGUUUACCAAAAACACAGGUCUGUGCAAACUCGAAAGAGGAGGUAUACAGGCUGAGGCCUGCCCAGUGCCGGAAGGUUAAUUGCGGGGGUGAGUCCGACUUGUCGGACAAGCCUCCAAUCGAAGCCCCGGUGAACGGCAGCAGUAACUAUAACUGUUCUAUGGUAGCGCAGUCUCUAGUCGCUUAAUUAGCGACCCGCACGAAAGGCGUCACGACUUUGUAACUGUCUUGAACCUUCACCCGGCGAAAUUGAAAUGGCUGUGAAGAUGCGGCCUACUGACUGCAGGACAAAAAGACCCCGUGGAGCUUUACUACAGCUUGGCACUGAUUUUUCAUACCGAAUCGUCGAGCAUAGGCGGGACCUCGCAGAUUUAUUUUGCGGGGGUCACUGGAAUACCGCUCGUUUAGCAUGAGAAAUCUUACUCAAAGAUUCUGGAAACGAAUCUGGGGACACUGUCUGGUGGGUAGUUUAACUGGGGAGGUUGCUUGCUAAAGAGUACCGCAAGCGUGCAAUGGUACCCUUAGUCCCGAUGGAAACGGGACCGGACGUGCAAUGGCAUAAGGGUGCUUGACUGUGAGGCAAACUAGCCGAGCAGAUGCGAAAGCAGGUCAUAGUGAUCCUCGUGUGCUUUGUGGAAGGCACCGGGCUUAACGGAUAAAAGCUACCCCGGGGAUAACAGAGUAGUCGCGCCUAAGCGUCCAUAGCGACGGCGCGGUUCGCUACCUCGAUGUCGGCUCAACGCAUCCUGGGGGUGGAGAAGCUCCCAAGGGUUGGACUGUUCGCCCAUUAAAGCGUUACGCGAGCUGGGUUCAGAACGUCGUAAGACAGUUCGGCCUCUAUCCGCAGUCAGCGUGGGAUUCUUGAGGGAAGCUGGCCACAGUACGAGAGGACCUGGCUGGGGCAGUCCCUGGUGUUCCUGUUGUCGCUGUCAAGCGCACCGCAGGGUAGCUACACUGCUUCGAGAUAACCGCUGAAAGCAUCUAAGCGGGAAGCUCAUCCCAAGAUAAGGAAUCCAUCCGAGUUCAGCUCGGGAGAGACCCCUAGGAGACUACUAGGUUGAUAGGCGGCCGGUGGAAGUCCGGUAACGGAUUAAGCCUAGCCGUACUAAUUGGUCGAAAG
RNAcentral lists this ribosomal RNA (1582 nucleotides) under Candidatus Chisholmbacteria bacterium RIFCSPHIGHO2_01_FULL_52_32. RNAcentral describes it as "bacterial LSU rRNA". It matches the Rfam family "Bacterial large subunit ribosomal RNA", at positions 1360 to 2915 of the family's 2925-position model. Lineage: Bacteria; Candidatus Chisholmiibacteriota. The record is from RNAcentral.